Non-coding RNA from Pteropus alecto (black flying fox), 74 nucleotides. Lineage: Eukaryota; Metazoa; Chordata; Mammalia; Chiroptera; Pteropodidae. The record is from Rfam.
GGCUCCAUGGAGCAGUGGUUAGCAUGUCUGCUUUACAUGCAGAAGGUCCUGGGUUUGCACCCCAGGUGGAGUCA